RNAcentral lists this unclassified non-coding RNA (345 nucleotides) under soil metagenome. RNAcentral's name for it is "partial contains 5.8S ribosomal RNA, internal transcribed spacer 2, and large subunit ribosomal RNA". The stretch from base 1 to 119 matches the Rfam family "5.8S ribosomal RNA", at positions 35 to 154 of the family's 154-position model. The record is from RNAcentral.
GAUGAAGAACGUAGCGAAAUGCGAUACGUAAUGUGAAUUGCAAAUUCAGUGAAUCAUCGAAUCUUUGAACGCACAUUGCGCCCGCCAGUAUUCUGGCGGGCAUGCCUGUUCGAGCGUCAUUUCAACCCUCAAGCCCUCGGGUUUGGUGUUGGGGAUCGGCGAGCCUUUCUGGCAAGCCGGCCCCGAAAUCUAGUGGCGGUCUCGCUGCAGCCUCCAUUGCGUAGUAGUAAAACCCUCGCAACUGGAACGCGGCGCGGCCAAGCCGUUAAACCCCCAACUUCUGAAUGUUGACCUCGGAUCAGGUAGGAAUACCCGCUGAACUUAAGCAUAUCAAUAAGCGGAGGA